Molecule: long non-coding RNA, 1534 nt
Organism: Oreochromis niloticus (Nile tilapia)
Lineage: Eukaryota; Metazoa; Chordata; Actinopteri; Cichliformes; Cichlidae
Exons: 5
Source: RefSeq, a predicted model, not a curated record
UCAGUGUAUAUUAAUUAUUUAUUUUCAUUUUACUUAAAAUAUAUGUUUUUGUUAAGUUAACAUAUGUUUUUCUAAUCAAGUCUACGUAAUUGUGUCUAUUAUUCACUGUACAUAAUACUAAUGUGUUACUUAAUGGCAUAACAUUUAAGUUAAGUCAAUUAGGAUCGGUAUACUUUGUAUAUCCACAAGGUGGCAGUAAUGCAAAAACAGUUGUAAUGAAACCGCGAAAAACAAGAAGGUUUCACGGCUUGGGCCUGCUCAUGCGCAAGACUUCAAAUCUAACUCAAAAACGUUGUUUUGGCGCCAAGCUGCUGUUUCUUUGAGAGAUCCUGGCCUUUACCUGCUCCCUCCUAUACUGAUGUGGUGUAUGUGGUACUGCUGAGCUUGUAUGUGAUCUGAACCAUUGUAAAGGUUGCAGUUCAAGGGCCUGAGGUGGAAGCAGAAUUUGUGAGGAUUACUACUGCUCCACUUGUUCCAAGGCUUUUUGCACAACUUGACCAAUACACUGACCAGCUCAUAAAAGUCUUCAAGAAAAAAGGAGGCGCUGCAGUGAAGAAAAUUAGACAAAUUUUGGUCCCAGCCACAAAGGUGCAUUAUUCAGUUGGUAGCAAAAUAUUAUGGCUAACAAGAUCACUUUCAAAUUUAAACAGCUAGUGUAUGGUAGCUGCACAGUGUACUUACAUUUAUAUUAAGCAAGACAAAGUUUGGUACUCAAAACUUUGGAAAAUUAAAAUUACCUAAACAUAAGUAAAAUCUGAUCCCUCAAUUUUGGGUUAAACCAUAAGUGAAUGUUUUUAUGUUAAAGAUCAGUUUUUGAAUGCAAAAAAGAUGAUGUAUUAGUUUGUCUUUACCUCUAUUAUGGACAUAUAUAAUGUGGUGGAAACCCUACCCAACAGGUUAACUAUUCAUGUCCAUGUGAUGAUUAGUUGGUCUUGUGUACAUGUCUAUCUGUGCAGUGGAUAUGUCAUUCAUUUUGCGUAUAAUGUGAGUUUGUGUCAUCCUAAAGUAUUUCUGUUUUCUCUUCCUGUAUCUCUGCCACUCUCUACAGAAGCAAACUAUUGAAAAGGCGAGGGAGUGUGUCCUCAGGGCACUACCUUUUUACCUGAAUGAAGACCCAAGCAUCCUCUUCAAAGAAUAAUUGCUACAGCUGUUCAGAGGGAGCUGGAACAAAUUACCCUUGCUAUCUUUACCAUCGAAAGAGCUGAUGCCAGCACUCCUCCAGCCAAUGUGGAUAUAACCAUUUAGGGUGUUCUGCAUGACCUGGAAGACAUGGACUCUGCAUGUGCACUCUUAAUGGGUGGGAUAUAUGCACUGAAUCUCAGUUAACCUUGAGACUGAAAGCUUUCUUUGAAGUACUUCAGAAGCUCUUCCUUCAUCUGUAUGUCAGCAGACUCUUGACCAAGGUACAGAUACUCAAGAAUAAACUGAAUGAAUAAGCCAACCCUUAAUUUGGAUGAUUAAUGUUCUGUCAGAUGGACAGAAGUUUUUCGGAGGCUAAAUGGGAAUAAAACGGUAAUUUGUUGAAAAUGACAGA